UACGGGGGGGGCAAGCGUUGUUCGGAAUAACUGGGCGUAAAGGGCUCGUAGGCGGCCAACUAAGUCGGAUGUGAAAUCCCCAGGCUUAACCUGGGAACUGCAUCCGAUACUGGAUGGCUUGAAUCCGGGAGAGGGAUGCAGAAUUCCAGGUGUAGCGGUGAAAUGCGUAGAUAUCUGGAGGAAUACCGGUGGCGAAGGCGGCAUCCUGGACCGGCAUUGACGCUGAUGAGCGAAAGCUAGGGGAGCAAACGGG
Molecule: ribosomal RNA, 253 nt
Filed under: uncultured bacterium
Lineage: Bacteria
Description: partial 16S ribosomal RNA
Rfam family: Bacterial small subunit ribosomal RNA
Source: RNAcentral